This 85-nucleotide transfer RNA is filed under the name Klebsiella pneumoniae. Its description in RNAcentral is "tRNA-Tyr". It matches the Rfam family "tRNA". From Rfam's summary of the family: Transfer RNA (tRNA) molecules are approximately 80 nucleotides in length. Their secondary structure includes four short double-helical elements and three loops (D, anti-codon, and T loops). RNAcentral also lists the same sequence under 1 other name. Lineage: Bacteria; Pseudomonadati; Pseudomonadota; Gammaproteobacteria; Enterobacterales; Enterobacteriaceae. The record is from RNAcentral.
GGUGGGGUUCCCGAGCGGCCAAAGGGAGCAGACUGUAAAUCUGCCGUCAUCGACUUCGAAGGUUCGAAUCCUUCCCCCACCACAA